This 497-nucleotide ribosomal RNA is filed under the name uncultured bacterium. RNAcentral describes it as "partial 16S ribosomal RNA". It matches the Rfam family "Bacterial small subunit ribosomal RNA", at positions 28 to 507 of the family's 1533-position model. The record is from RNAcentral.
GAUGAACGCUGGCGGCGUGCCUAAUACAUGCAAGUCGAGCGAACGGACGAGAAGCUUGCUUCUCUGAUGUUAGCGGCGAACGGGUGAGUAACACGUGGAUAACCUACCUAUAAGACUGGGAUAACUUCGGGAAACCGGAGCUAAUACCGGAUAAUAUUUUGAACCGCAUGGUUCAAAAGUGAAAGACGGUCUUGCUGUCACUUAUAGAUGGAUCCGCGCUGCAUUAGUUAGUUGGUAAGGUAACGGCUUACCAAGGCAACGAUGCAUAGCCGACCUGAGAGGGUGAUCGGCCAGACUGGAACUGAGACACGGUCCAGACUCCUACGGGAGGCAGCAGUAGGGAAUCUUCCGCAAUGGGCGAAAGCCUGACGGAGCAACGCCGCGUGAGUGAUGAAGGUCUUCGGAUCGUAAAACUCUGUUAUUAGGGAAGAACAUAUGUGUAAGUAACUGUGCACAUCUUGACGGUACCUAAUCAGAAAGCCACGGCUAACUACGUG